GACGAACGCUGGCGGCGUGCCUAAUACAUGCAAGUAGAGCGCUGAAGGAGGAGCUUGCUUCUCUGGAUGAGUUGCGAACGGGUGAGUAACGCGUAGGUAACCUGCCUGGUAGCGGGGGAUAACUAUUGGAAACGAUAGCUAAUACCGCAUAAGAGUAGAUGUUGCAUGACAUUUGCUUAAAAGGUGCAAUUGCAUCACUACCAGAUGGACCUGCGUUGUAUUAGCUAGUUGGUGGGGUAACGGCUCACCAAGGCGACGAUACAUAGCCGACCUGAGAGGGUGAUCGGCCACACUGGGACUGAGACACAGCCCAGACUCCUACGGGAGGCAGCAGUAGGGAAUCUUCGGCAAUGGACGGAAGUCUGACCGAGCAACGCCGCGUGAGUGAAGAAGGUUUUCGGAUCGUAAAGCUCUGUUGUAAGAGAAGAACGAGUGUGAGAGUGGAAAGUUCACACUGUGACGGUAUCUUACCAGAAAGGGACGGCUAACUACGUG
RNAcentral lists this ribosomal RNA (495 nucleotides) under uncultured bacterium. RNAcentral describes it as "partial 16S ribosomal RNA". It matches the Rfam family "Bacterial small subunit ribosomal RNA", at positions 28 to 507 of the family's 1533-position model. The record is from RNAcentral.